Long non-coding RNA from Rhineura floridana, 424 nucleotides. RefSeq lists it as uncharacterized. The transcript has 3 exons. NCBI's taxonomy places the organism in Eukaryota, Metazoa, Chordata, Lepidosauria, Squamata, Rhineuridae. The record is from RefSeq and is a predicted model, not a curated record.
GAAGGAGAAGGAGAAGGAGAAGGAGAAGAAGAAGAAGAAGAAGAAGAAGAAGAAGAAAAGGAUUUGCAUCACAAAAAUAAAAGAGGACCUCAAGAUGGUAUAUAUCGUUCUCCCCAUUUUAUCCUCACAACAAACCUCUGAGGAAAAGCAUAUCCAAGUAAAACAGAGUCAGGAAAAGCAGAUUAUCUGGCAUAGCAAGAUUAGCCAGAAUAUGGAGAACCAGAGAUUGCAUCAUCAGAGCUGCAUUGUCAACAAGACAACUUCAUGGGGGGGGGAGAGAGUCUGGACAGGGAUGUUAUGUCAACUAGAUUCAUAGAACUGAAUGUGAUGAGGCAAUGAUGAAAAAGGAGCACAUCGACACAUGACAGUGCUAAAGGGCGCAAUGCCACAGUAGCCAGUUAACAUCUUUGGUGUACAGACUAUG